GUGAAGAACGCAGUGAAAUGCGAUAAGUAGUGUGAAUUGCAGAAUUCAGUGAAUCAUCGAAUCUUUGAACGCACAUUGCGGCCAUAGGUAUUCCUUUGGCCAUGCCUGUUCGAGCGUCAUUUACACCCUCAAGCCUAGCUUGGUGUUGGGCGCCUGUCCCGCCGUUUUCGCGCGCGGACUCGCCUCAAAGUCAUUGGCGGCGGUCGUGCCGGCCCCCUCGCGCAGCACAUUUGCGCUUCUCGGAGGCCCGGCGGAUCCGCGCUCCAGCAAGACCUUUCACGACUUGACCUCGGAUCAGGUAGGGAUACCCGCUGAACUUAAGCAUAUCAAUAAGCGGAGGA
This 341-nucleotide unclassified non-coding RNA is filed under the name soil metagenome. RNAcentral's name for it is "partial contains 5.8S ribosomal RNA, internal transcribed spacer 2, and large subunit ribosomal RNA". The stretch from base 2 to 119 matches the Rfam family "5.8S ribosomal RNA", at positions 37 to 154 of the family's 154-position model. The record is from RNAcentral.